UAGGGAAUCUUCCGCAAUGGACGAAAGUCUGACGGAGCAACGCCGCGUGAGUGAUGAAGGCUUUCGGGUCGUAAAACUCUGUUGUUAGGGAAGAACAAGUACGAGAGUAACUGCUCGUACCUUGACGGUACCUAACCAGAAAGCCACGGCUAACUACGUGCCAGCAGCCGCGGUAAUACGUAGGUGGCAAGCGUUAUCCGGAAUUAUUGGGCGUAAAGCGCGCGCAGGCGGUUUCUUAAGUCUGAUGUGAAAGCCCACGGCUCAACCGUGGAGGGUCAUUGGAAACUGGGGAACUUGAGUGCAGAAGAGAAAAGCGGAACUCCACGUGUAGCGGUGAAAUGCGUAGAGAUGUGGAGGAACACCAGUGGCGAAGGCGGCUUUUUGGUCUGUAACUGACGCUGAGGCGCGAAAGCGUGGGGAGCAAACAGGAUUAGGAUACCCUGGUAGUCCACGCCGUAAACGAUGAGUGCUGAGUGUUAGAGGGUUUCCGCCUUUAGUGCU
Molecule: ribosomal RNA, 501 nt
Filed under: uncultured Bacillota bacterium
Lineage: Bacteria; Bacillati; Bacillota
Description: bacterial SSU rRNA
Rfam family: Bacterial small subunit ribosomal RNA
Source: RNAcentral